This 107-nucleotide small nucleolar RNA is filed under the name Cephalotus follicularis. RNAcentral's name for it is "Plant small nucleolar RNA R71". It matches the Rfam family "Plant small nucleolar RNA R71". Rfam says of the family: R71 is a member of the C/D box family of snoRNAs containing the C (UGAUGA) and D (CUGA) box motifs. Multiple nearly identical copies of this snoRNA have been identified in Arabidopsis, and it is thought to function as a 2'-O-ribose methylation guide for 18S ribosomal RNA. Lineage: Eukaryota; Viridiplantae; Streptophyta; Magnoliopsida; Oxalidales; Cephalotaceae. The record is from Rfam by way of RNAcentral.
ACGACAUGAUGGGGACAUUUUCGGAUGAGGUCCUUUAAUCUUUCCCAUGCCUCAUGGAACUGCUCACUAUUGUGCUGUGAGAAGCUAGUGAGAGCUCGCCUUAUCUG